RNAcentral lists this ribosomal RNA (441 nucleotides) under uncultured bacterium. RNAcentral describes it as "partial 16S ribosomal RNA". It matches the Rfam family "Bacterial small subunit ribosomal RNA", at positions 338 to 795 of the family's 1533-position model. The record is from RNAcentral.
CCUACGGGGUGCAGCAGUGGGGGAUAUUGCACAAUGGGGGGAACCCUGAUGCAGCGACGCCGCGUGGGUGAAGGAGUGCUUCGGCAUGUAAAGCCCUAUCGGCAGGGAUGAAGCAAGACGGUACCUGACUAAGAAGCCCCGGCUAACUACGUGCCAGCAGCCGCGGUAAUACGUAGGGGGCGAGCGUUAUCCGGAUUCACUGGGUGUAAAGGGAGCGUAGACGGCCAUGCAAGCCAGGGGUGAAAGCCCGGGGCCCAACCCCGGGACUGCCCUUGGAACUGUGCGGCUAGAGUGCGGGAGGGGCAGGCGGAAUUCCUGGUGUAGCGGUGAAAUGCGUAGAUAUCAGGAGGAACACCGGCGGCGAAGGCGGCCUGCUGGACUGCGACUGACGUUGAGGCUCGAAAGCGUGGGGAGCGAACAGGAUUAGAUACCCGAGUAGUC